This 462-nucleotide ribosomal RNA is filed under the name Triticum aestivum (bread wheat). Its description in RNAcentral is "partial small subunit ribosomal RNA". The record is from RNAcentral. Lineage: Eukaryota; Viridiplantae; Streptophyta; Magnoliopsida; Poales; Poaceae.
AUGGCGUCCAAGGUCGAGCUGGUGGUGGAGGUGAAGUCGCCGGCGGAGAAGCUGUGGACGGCGAUGCGCGAGUCGACGGAGCUGUUCCCCAAGAUCUUCCCCGAGCAGUACAAGAGCAUCGAGACCGUGGAGGGCGACGGCAAGUCCGCCGGCACCGUCCGCCUCAUCAAGUACACCGAGGGGGUUCCGAUGGUGACGUUCGCCAAGGAGAAGGUGGAGGUGGCGGACGACGAGAAGAAGGUGGUGUCGUACAGCGUGGUGGACGGCGAGCUGGUGAGCUUCUACAAGAACUUCAGGGUGACGGUGCAGGUGACCGACAAGGGCGCCGACGGCGCCGGCGCGGUGGUGAACUGGACCAUGGACUUCGACAAGGCCAGCGACGAGGUGCCCGAGCCGGACGUCAUCAAGGAGACCGCCGCCAAGACCUUCCACGACCUCGACGACUACCUCCUCAAGAACUAG